This 464-nucleotide ribosomal RNA is filed under the name uncultured bacterium. Its description in RNAcentral is "partial 16S ribosomal RNA". It matches the Rfam family "Bacterial small subunit ribosomal RNA", at positions 338 to 795 of the family's 1533-position model. The record is from RNAcentral.
CCUACGGGAGGCAGCAGUAGGGAAUCUUCGUCAAUGGGCGCAAGCCUGAACGAGCAAUGCCGCGUGAACGAGGAAGGUCUUCGGAUCGUAAAGUUCUGUUGAAGGGGAAAAAGAGCGGAGAGAGGAAAUGCUUUCUGAUUGAUAUUACCCUUCGAGGAAGUCACGGCUAACUACGUGCCAGCAGCCGCGGUAAUACGUAGGUGGCGAGCGUUAUCCGGAAUGAUGGGGCGUAAAGGGUGCGUAGGCGGCCUGCUAAGUCUGGAGUGAAAGGUACCGGCUCAACCGGUACAGGCUCUGGAAACUGGCGGGCUAGAGAGCAGGAGAGGGCGGUGGAACUCCAUGUGUAGCGGUAAAAUGCGUAGAUAUAUGGAAGAACACCAGUGGCGAAGGCGGCCGCCUGGCCUGUUACUGACGCUGAGGCACGAAAGCGUGGGGAGCAAAUAGGAUUAGAUACCCCGGUAGUC